Molecule: non-coding RNA, 730 nt
Organism: Ictidomys tridecemlineatus (thirteen-lined ground squirrel)
Lineage: Eukaryota; Metazoa; Chordata; Mammalia; Rodentia; Sciuridae
Source: RefSeq, a predicted model, not a curated record
UUCAGGUACAAAGCAGCAAGUGCCAGGAAUGGUCUGUGUCCAAACAAGGGCUGACCACACACACUACUAGCUACAUAGAGCCUGGUUUCAUACACCCUAACACAUCACACAUCUGAACUGUAUAAGAGAAAAGGAAGACUGGGAAAAAAAUCAAGGAAGCAUUGGAAUGCUGGAAUGCUAGAGAUCAUUAGAGCUUAUAAGGAAAUGAAAGCACAGGGAGAUUAAAUUCCUGCUGUAUGUCACAGAGCCAGUAAAUGGCAGAGACAAGAUGUGAACCCUGCAGUCUGCACAGCUACUACUAUGCAAUGGAGACAGGAUCAGAAGCUGGAGAGUCCCACAGUGGCCAUCUGCAGGUUGGAGAGCUGGAGGAACCAGUAGUUGCUCUAAGAAGUUGGAGCUUCAGAAGGAGGACCAAGAAGACUGUAGUCCCCAGGUUGGGACUAAAGGCCUGAAAACUCCCUGGAGGGUUGAUCUUCUUUGAAGACUAAAGAAGCGAGAGUCCAAUGUCCUCAGACCAUCAUGGCAGCAACUGAAGCACCUGCUCAGGGAGAAUCUAGUUUGUGUCUGUGUCAGCUUCCUCAUUCUUCCACCUUUUGUCCCAUCCAAGGCCCCAAUUUAUUGAAAUGUACUGCCUUCAGUUUCCUUUCCCACAUGCCAGUCAUUCCUAGAAACAACCUCAUCCAUACGCUCAGAAGCCUCUUAAUCCAAUUAAAUUGACAAUUCAGAUUAA